Molecule: long non-coding RNA, 260 nt
Organism: Amphimedon queenslandica
Lineage: Eukaryota; Metazoa; Porifera; Demospongiae; Haplosclerida; Niphatidae
Exons: 3
Source: RefSeq, a predicted model, not a curated record
GUACCAAACGUCUCGUGUGAUGUCAGUCCUUCCGCAUCCUUCAACAGCACAAAUGACCUGAUCAAUUGUUGCAAUGACUUAACAUUUUGUACGCUGGCCAUGAAUGCGAUGAAUCUGACGUCAGGGAACUACCCUUGGGAUUCCCUCCGAUUAUCUACCUCACACGAUAAGCUGCUCUGUAAAAACAACUGUUGUACGCUGGCCAUGAGUGUGACUGUAUUGCGUGGAAUCUGACAUCAAGGAACUACCGAUUAUCAAUA